This 103-nucleotide ribosomal RNA is filed under the name Staphylococcus aureus. The record is from RNAcentral. Lineage: Bacteria; Bacillati; Bacillota; Bacilli; Caryophanales; Staphylococcaceae.
UGGUGACUAUAGCAAGGAGGUCACACCUGUUCCCAUGCCGAACACAGAAGUUAAGCUCCUUAGCGUCGAUGGUAGUCGAAAAACGUCAAAAUAAAAGCAAACA